This 212-nucleotide long non-coding RNA is filed under the name Cicer arietinum (chickpea). RNAcentral describes it as "long non-coding RNA (CARI_LNC002423)". Lineage: Eukaryota; Viridiplantae; Streptophyta; Magnoliopsida; Fabales; Fabaceae. The record is from RNAcentral.
ACCACCUCAUUCUAAACGACGUCCUCAAAUCGGUUAUCUAUAUAACCGCGUUAAACAAGUUUUUAUUCAGUGGUUUAGCUACGUGGAGUAUGAUGGGAUAUAUUAAUUUUUUAAUUUUAUUUUUACCGUAUUUAUUAAGUCGGUUGUCAAUGUAACCGUGUUAAGAGUGUUUCACAUAUUUACAAAAUUGCUACCGCCUCAUUUUGUUAACU